RNAcentral lists this long non-coding RNA (749 nucleotides) under Carica papaya (papaya). Its description in RNAcentral is "long non-coding RNA (CPAP_LNC011281)". Lineage: Eukaryota; Viridiplantae; Streptophyta; Magnoliopsida; Brassicales; Caricaceae. The record is from RNAcentral.
AAGUAAUCUGAAAAACUGUGGUAAAAGUAAAAAUAACAUAAAUUUGACCACGUGGACCGCCACGUCAACAGCACGGCCGAUCAUCCACGUGCCAACGGAUCCAAUGGCCUAGAUCUCCUCCCGUAUGCCUAGACGACCUAGAUCCACUUCCUCUUCAGGUGCGAUCAAAUGACCAGAUUUAAUCCAUUCGUGCAGCACAAAUUUGUUCCCCCAAAUAAGGGUGAUCCGGCAGUUGGGAGCAGACUACGUGUUCCUGUACAAACGGCCCAGAUCGACAUGAAGAUGGUAUUUAAACAUCGUUUCCCAGAAAAUCCUAACCCUAAACUGCAGCUGACCCUGUGGGAGAAGAAGAAGAAGGGUGGCUGGAAGGAAGGAAGCCAACCAUCGUCGCCGCCGCACUAGAGCUACCACUGAUAGCAGGGAGGUGAGUGUUUUCCCUUUUUUGCUUCGAAAUUUGAUUUUAAGCACUCCUACACCCAUAUCGGUGUCAAAAAGCCAAGAGAAAAGCCAAAAAUUGAUAACAGAGCUCGGCCGAGCCGCUGCACUUGCGACCCAAAAUCGUUCCGGUGAGCCAAUCCUGCUUUCCGUUUCCUUCCAUUUUUAAAUAUUGUAUCCUAACCCUUUUCUAGUGCAAGACCAAAGAAAAUCCUCGGCCGCAAGAGAGAAACAGCGGACCCGCUGCACCGAAAAUCUCUCCCACCAGUAAGCCUCGACUUUUCCCUUUUUCUGGCCAACAGAGGCCACCUAAC